AAAGUCGUAACAAGGUCUCCGUUGGUGAACCAGCGGAGGGAUCAUUACUGAGUGUAAAAACUCCCAAACCCCUGUGAACAUACCGUCCGUUGCUUCGGCGGGAUCGCCCCGGGCGCCUUUGCGUGCCCCGGAUCCAGGCGCCCGCCGGAGAACUCUCCAAACUCUUGUUUUUAUAUGUGGCAUUAUCUGAGUGGCUUUAUGGCAAAUAAAUCAAAACUUUCAACAAUGGAUCUCUUGGCUCUG
This 243-nucleotide unclassified non-coding RNA is filed under the name Ascomycota sp. Its description in RNAcentral is "partial contains small subunit ribosomal RNA, internal transcribed spacer 1, and 5.8S ribosomal RNA". The stretch from base 1 to 47 matches the Rfam family "Eukaryotic small subunit ribosomal RNA", at positions 1785 to 1831 of the family's 1831-position model. Lineage: Eukaryota; Fungi; Ascomycota. The record is from RNAcentral.